UGGGGGAUCGUAUAGGGGCAAUACGGCGGGUUCUGGUCCCGUUGACCGAGGUUCGAAUCCUCGUCCCCCAGCCA
Molecule: transfer RNA, 74 nt
Filed under: Deltaproteobacteria bacterium
Lineage: Bacteria; Pseudomonadati; Myxococcota; Myxococcia
Also listed under: 3 other names
Description: tRNA-Gln
Rfam family: tRNA
About the family: Transfer RNA (tRNA) molecules are approximately 80 nucleotides in length. Their secondary structure includes four short double-helical elements and three loops (D, anti-codon, and T loops).
Source: RNAcentral